RNAcentral lists this transfer RNA (72 nucleotides) under Sus scrofa (pig). It matches the Rfam family "tRNA". Rfam says of the family: Transfer RNA (tRNA) molecules are approximately 80 nucleotides in length. Their secondary structure includes four short double-helical elements and three loops (D, anti-codon, and T loops). Lineage: Eukaryota; Metazoa; Chordata; Mammalia; Artiodactyla; Suidae. The record is from Rfam by way of RNAcentral.
UCUCUGGUGGUCUAGUGGUUAGGACUUGGUGCUUUCACAGCCGCAGCCGGGGUUUGAUCCCUUGUCUGGGAA